GAGAAGCUUGCUUCUCUGAUGUUAGCGGCGGACGGGUGAGUAACACGUGGAUAACCUACCUAUAAGACUGGGAUAACUUCGGGAAACCGGAGCUAAUACCGGAUAAUAUUUUGAACCGCAUGGUUCAAAAGUGAAAGACGGUCUUGCUGUCACUUAUAGAUGGAUCCGCGCUGCAUUAGCUAGUUGGUAAGGUAACGGCUUACCAAGGCAACGAUGCAUAGCCGACCUGAGAGGGUGAUCGGCCACACUGGAACUGAGACACGGUCCAGACUCCUACGGGAGGCAGCAGUAGGGAAUCUUCCGCAAUGGGCGAAAGCCUGACGGAGCAACGCCGCGUGAGUGAUGAAGGUCUUCGGAUCGUAAAACUCUGUUAUUAGGGAAGAACAUAUGUGUAAGUAACUGUGCACAUCUUGACGGUACCUAAUCAGAAAGCCACGGCUAACUACGUGCCAGCAGCCGCGGUAAUACGUAGGUGGCAAGCGUUAUCCGGAAUUAUUGGGCGUAAAGCGCGCGUAGGCGGUUUUUUAAGUCUGAUGUGAAAGCCCACGGCUCAACCGUGGAGGGUCAUUGGAAACUGGAAAACUUGAGUGCAGAAGAGGAAAGUGGAAUUCCAUGUGUAGCGGUGAAAUGCGCAGAGAUAUGGAGGAACACCAGUGGCGAAGGCGACUUUCUGGUCUGUAACUGACGCUGAUGUGCGAAAGCGUGGGGAUCAAACAGGAUUAGAUACCCUGGUAGUCCACGCCGUAAACGAUGAGUGCUAAGUGUUAGGGGGUUUCCGCCCCUUAGUGCUGCAGCUAACGCAUUAAGCACUCCGCCUGGGGAGUACGACCGCAAGGUUGAAACUCAAAGGAAUUGACGGGGACCCGCACAAGCGGUGGAGCAUGUGGUUUAAUUCGAAGCAACGCGAAGAACCUUACCAAAUCUUGACAUC
RNAcentral lists this ribosomal RNA (931 nucleotides) under Staphylococcus aureus. RNAcentral describes it as "bacterial SSU rRNA". It matches the Rfam family "Bacterial small subunit ribosomal RNA", at positions 73 to 988 of the family's 1533-position model. The record is from RNAcentral. Lineage: Bacteria; Bacillati; Bacillota; Bacilli; Caryophanales; Staphylococcaceae.